CCUGGCGGCCUUAGCGCGGUGGUCCCACCUGACCCCAUGCCGAACUCAGAAGUGAAACGUCGUAGCGCCGAUGGUAGUGUGGGGUCUCCCCAUGCGAGAGUAGGGAACAGCCAGGC
RNAcentral lists this ribosomal RNA (116 nucleotides) under Escherichia coli. The record is from RNAcentral. Lineage: Bacteria; Pseudomonadati; Pseudomonadota; Gammaproteobacteria; Enterobacterales; Enterobacteriaceae.